AAUUAGUGAGAAGAGAGAUGGGAAAAAAUAGUUCUUCAAAAUUGGUUCGUGUGCUCAUGCUUCUCCUUCUUCUUAGCUUCAUCUUUCAACAUACCGAAUCAGCUUUGCCUGCUGAUCAUGGACUACCCUCAAUAACUGGGAGGAGAAUUUUGACUUUAUAUGCCAUAGGAACACCAUCGUCAAGAAGCGGACGUGGUGGAAUUGCCCACGGGAUCGGAGGAGACUGAUGAGUACGUAUAAGCCAAAUGGAGACAUUUACACAAGACUGUCGGGUAGUGGACAUGGCGGUGGUCACAUUCAUCAACAUCCCUAUCCUUAGAUUUUGAACAAUUUACAAAAUUGCAAACUUAUCUGUUUAUGUAUUUUUUUAUUUGUCUUUUAUGUGAUAACUAUAUAGAAAAAUAUAUUUUCUUGGAACUUAAACCAUGUAUAUCUAAAAUAAAGAGUAGAGGAUCAAGAAGUUUCAUAAAAUUAACUACGAGAGAAAAAGAGAAAGAGAGAUGGCAAAUUUGGGACUUGUGUUCUUGCUUCUAUUGUGUAUUGUGGUCUCUUGCUCGAACGAACGUGCUCUUGUGCCUCCACAAGAGCUAAGUUCAUUAACAGUUUGGAGAAGGAAGUUGAUACCAGUAAACCCAUCAAGAAGUCCACGAAGUCCUUCCUUUCCUCCGCCAAGGCCAAGGCCACGGUCGCCGCCGCCGCCACCACCACCAC
Capsella rubella is the source of this 711-nucleotide long non-coding RNA. RefSeq lists it as uncharacterized. The record is from RefSeq and is a predicted model, not a curated record. NCBI's taxonomy places the organism in Eukaryota, Viridiplantae, Streptophyta, Magnoliopsida, Brassicales, Brassicaceae. The transcript has 4 exons.